CUUGUUUUGCUUUGUUUGAGGAUUUUAUGACCUCUUAUGAUUGAAUUUUUUUGCUUUUGAUGCCUAAUUUUUGCAUGGACCGUUUUUGAAGCUUUGAAUCCACUAGGAUUGCCCUAAUUUUUUUGCCUAAGUUGCCUCUUUGGGUAUUCAACUUAGUGGGUUUUUUUAUUCUUUUUUUUUUAUUUUACUGAAAAUUAUGACAGCCAAGUCAUUGGUCA
Molecule: long non-coding RNA, 218 nt
Filed under: Lathyrus oleraceus (garden pea)
Lineage: Eukaryota; Viridiplantae; Streptophyta; Magnoliopsida; Fabales; Fabaceae
Description: Pisum sativum (pea) long non-coding RNA (PSAT_LNC036246)
Source: RNAcentral